RNAcentral lists this ribosomal RNA (468 nucleotides) under uncultured bacterium. Its description in RNAcentral is "partial 16S ribosomal RNA". It matches the Rfam family "Bacterial small subunit ribosomal RNA", at positions 28 to 507 of the family's 1533-position model. The record is from RNAcentral.
GACGAACGCUGGCGGCGUGCUUAACACAUGCAAGUCGAACGGAAAGGCCCUGCUUUUGUGGGGUGCUCGAGUGGCGAACGGGUGCGUAACACGUGAGUAACCUGCCCUUGACUUUGGGAUAACUUCAGGAAACUGGGGCUAAGACCGGAUAGGAGACCCUGCUGGAUGGUGGGGGGUGGAUAGUUUCGGCGGUCGGGGAUGGACUCGCGGCUUAUCAGUUUGCUGGUGGGGGAGUGGCUUACCAAGGCUUUGACGGGUAGCCGGCCUGAGAGGGUGACCGGCCACAUUGGGACUGAGAUACGGCCCAGACUCCUACGGGAGGCAGCAGUGGGGAAUAUUGCACAAUGGGCGGAAGCCUGAUGCAGCAACGCCGCGUGCGGGAUGACGGCCUUCGGGUUGUAAACCGCUUUCGCCUGUGACGAAGCGUGAGUGACGGUAAUGGGUAAAGAAGCACCGGCUAACUACGUG